CAGUAGCCACGGGAAUACUGAGGGUGCGAGCGUUAAUCGGAUUUACUGGGCGUAAAGCGUGCGUAGGCGGCUUUUUAAGUCGGAUGUGAAAUCCCUGAGCUUAACUUAGGAAUUGCAUUCGAUACUGGGAAGCUAGAGUAUGGGAGAGGAUGGUAGAAUUCCAGGUGUAGCGGUGAAAUGCGUAGAGAUCUGGAGGAAUACCGAUGGCGAAGGCAGCCAUCUGGCCUAAUACUGACGCUGAGGUACGAAAGCAUGGGGAGCAAACAGGAUUAGAUACCCCAGUAGUCCCUGUCUCUUAUAC
Molecule: ribosomal RNA, 301 nt
Filed under: uncultured bacterium
Lineage: Bacteria
Description: partial 16S ribosomal RNA
Rfam family: Bacterial small subunit ribosomal RNA
Source: RNAcentral